Molecule: small nuclear RNA, 19 nt
Filed under: Arabidopsis thaliana (thale cress)
Lineage: Eukaryota; Viridiplantae; Streptophyta; Magnoliopsida; Brassicales; Brassicaceae
Description: snRNA_18029
Source: RNAcentral
ACCGGGAAGAGCCCAGCUU